GUGUCAGCAGCCGCGGUAAUACAGAGGUCCCAAGCGUUGUUCGGAUUUACUGGGCGUAAAGGGUGUGUAGGCGGUCAAGAUAGUCCGACGUUAAAUCUCUGGGCUCAACCCAGAAACCGCGUUAGAUACUUCUUGGCUCGAGAGACAUAGGGGGAACCGGAAUUCUCGGUGUAGCAGUGAAAUGCGUAGAUAUCGAGAGGAACGCCAGUGGCGAAAGCGGGUUUCUGGAUGUCAUCUGACGCUGAGGCACUAAAGCUGGGGGAGCAAACGGGAUUAGAAACCCCUGUAGUCC
Molecule: ribosomal RNA, 292 nt
Filed under: uncultured bacterium
Lineage: Bacteria
Description: partial 16S ribosomal RNA
Rfam family: Bacterial small subunit ribosomal RNA
Source: RNAcentral